Molecule: ribosomal RNA, 305 nt
Filed under: uncultured bacterium
Lineage: Bacteria
Description: bacterial SSU rRNA
Rfam family: Bacterial small subunit ribosomal RNA
Source: RNAcentral
GUUAACCUACGGGGCGCAGCAGUGGGGAAUAUUGCACAAUGGGGGAAACCCUGAUGCAGCGACGCCGCGUGGGCGAGGAAGUACCUCGGUAUGUAAAGCCCUAUCAGCAGGGAAGAAACAGGACAGUACCUGACUAAGAAGCCCCGGCUAACUACGUGCCAGCAGCCGCGGUAAUACGUAGGGGGCACGCGUUAUCCGGAUUCACUGGGCGUAAAGGGAGCGCAGGCGGCAUGGCGAGUCUGAUGUGACAACCCGGGGCCCAACCCCGGGAGUGCAUUGGCAACUGCCCGGCGGGAGUGUCGGCG